Molecule: ribosomal RNA, 337 nt
Filed under: uncultured Legionella sp.
Lineage: Bacteria; Pseudomonadati; Pseudomonadota; Gammaproteobacteria; Legionellales; Legionellaceae
Description: bacterial SSU rRNA
Rfam family: Bacterial small subunit ribosomal RNA
Source: RNAcentral
AGCACCGGCUAACUCCGUGCCAGCAGCCGCGGUAAUACGGAGGGUGCGAGCGUUAAUCGGAAUUACUGGGCGUAAAGGGUGCGUAGGUGGUUGAUUAAGUUAUCUGUGAAAUUCCUGGGCUCAACCUGGGACGGUCAGAUAAUACUGGUUGACUCGAGUAUAGGAGAGGGUAGUGGAAUUUCCGGUGUAGCGGUGAAAUGCGUAGAGAUCGGAAGGAACACCAGUGGCGAAGGCGGCUACCUGGCCUAAUACUGACACUGAGGCACGAAAGCGUGGGGAGCAAACAGGAUUAGAUACCCUGGUAGUCCACGCCGUAAACGAUGUCAACUAGCUGUUG